GGUUAAGCUAGAAAGGGCGCACGGUGG
This 27-nucleotide ribosomal RNA is filed under the name Geobacillus stearothermophilus. RNAcentral describes it as "partial 23S ribosomal RNA". Lineage: Bacteria; Bacillati; Bacillota; Bacilli; Caryophanales; Anoxybacillaceae. The record is from RNAcentral.